AGUUACCAACAACGAGAACCGAACAUAGGACCACUUAUGGCAAUGUUAGUAGGUAGGUACGUCACUACCGUCAUAUUUUUCUUCCGUUAAUGUUCUCAAAGCUAUAUAGGUCUACGCAAUACUUUGAGAAUAGUAACUGAGUAUUAUUUAUUUAUUUUUAACAGAGUUAUAAAGUUGCCUUUUUAAACUGUAUUUUCUCAAUUAUUAAUUUAAUAUUGACAUAAGUAUGUUAUUCUAAUGAUGGUAGUUCAUUCAUGAACAUGAUUUUGAAAUUACUUACAAUUUGAGACAAUAUUAUUAUUUAGAGUUCUUUACUAAACAAAAAAUACACCGAAACUAAUAAAAUGUUUUGUUUGUAUUAAACACGAACUAUUUAUUACUAAUGAAGUCUUGAUUACUAUCAAUACUAAUUUAAGGUUGACUUAAAAUGUAUAUUUUCCAUUUUUUUUUUGUAAUUCAUUCUAGCUACCACUAUAAUUUGUUUUUUUUUAUUGUAAGAUAAAAAUAUUUUUGUUUUAAAAUUGUUAUUGUGUUUAAAUUUUGUCCCUGUCUGCAUGAUACAAAUAACAUUUAAGUAACAUAACGCCUUACUUAAUAAAGUUUACUGAACUAAAAA
Ostrinia nubilalis (European corn borer) is the source of this 616-nucleotide long non-coding RNA. RefSeq lists it as uncharacterized. The record is from RefSeq and is a predicted model, not a curated record. The transcript is spliced from 2 exons. Lineage: Eukaryota; Metazoa; Arthropoda; Insecta; Lepidoptera; Crambidae.